Molecule: non-coding RNA, 22 nt
Filed under: Arabidopsis thaliana (thale cress)
Lineage: Eukaryota; Viridiplantae; Streptophyta; Magnoliopsida; Brassicales; Brassicaceae
Source: RNAcentral
UUUGAUAGGUCGCCUACCUUUG